Molecule: ribosomal RNA, 301 nt
Filed under: uncultured bacterium
Lineage: Bacteria
Description: partial 16S ribosomal RNA
Rfam family: Bacterial small subunit ribosomal RNA
Source: RNAcentral
CAGCCGCCGCGGUAAUACGGAGGGAGCUAGCGUUGUUCGGAAUUACUGGGCGUAAAGCGCACGUAGGCGGUUACUCAAGUCAGAGGUGAAAGCCCGGGGCUCAACCCCGGAACUGCCCUUGAAACUAGGUGACUAGAAUCUUGGAGAGGUCAGUGGAAUUCCGAGUGUAAAGGUGAAAUUCGUAGAUAUUCGGAAGAACACCAGUGGCGAAGGCGACUGACUGGACAAGUAUUGACGCUGAGGAGCGAAAGCAUGGGGAGCGAACAGGAUUAGAUACCCGAGUAGUCCCUGUCUCUUAUCA